GAUGAACGCUAGCUACAGGCUUAACACAUGCAAGUCGAGGGGAAACGCCAUCGAAAGCUUGCUUUUGAUGGGCGUCGACCGGCGCACGGGUGAGUAACGCGUAUCCAACCUGCCCACCACUUGGGGAUAACCUUGCGAAAGUAAGACUAAUACCCAAUGACGUCUCUAGAAGACAUCUGAAAGAGAUUAAAGAUUUAUCGGUGAUGGAUGGGGAUGCGUCUGAUUAGCUUGUUGGCGGGGUAACGGCCCACCAAGGCGACGAUCAGUAGGGGUUCUGAGAGGAAGGUCCCCCAAAUUGGAACUGAGACACGGUCCAAACUCCUACGGGAGGCAGCAGUGAGGAAUAUUGGUCAAUGGACGAGAGUCUGAACCAGCCAAGUAGCGUGCAGGAUGACGGCCCUAUGGGUUGUAAACUGCUUUUAUAAGGGAAUAAAGUGAGUCUCGUGAGACUUUUUGCAUGUACCUUAUGAAUAAGGACCGGCUAAUUCCGU
RNAcentral lists this ribosomal RNA (491 nucleotides) under uncultured bacterium. Its description in RNAcentral is "partial 16S ribosomal RNA". It matches the Rfam family "Bacterial small subunit ribosomal RNA", at positions 28 to 506 of the family's 1533-position model. The record is from RNAcentral.